GAUGAACGCUGGCGGCGUGCCUAAUACAUGCAAGUCGAGCGGAAGGACGAGAAGUUUGCGUCUCGGAUGUGAGCGGCGGACGUGAGAGUAACACGUGUAUACCCUCCCUAUAAGUCUGGUAUCACUACGGGAAACCGGAGCUAAUACCGUAUGAGAUUUUGAUCCGUAUGGUUCAAAAGUGAAAGACGGUGUUGCUGUCACUUAUAGAUGGAUCAGCGCUGCUUUAGCGGGUUGGGAAGGUAAAGGCUUACCAAGGCAACGAGGCAUAGCCGACCUCAAAGACUGAUCGGCCACCUGGGAAUGGGAACACGGACAAGACUCCUACGGGAGGACGCAGUAGGAAAUGUGCCGCAAUGGGGGAAAACCUGACGGAGCAGCCCCGAGUGAGGGAUAAAGGCCUCGGGAUCGUAAAUCUCUGUUAUUGGGGAGAAACAUAUGUGUAAGUUACUGUACAGAUCUUGACGGUACCUAAUAAGAAAGCCCCGGCUAACUACGUG
RNAcentral lists this ribosomal RNA (497 nucleotides) under uncultured bacterium. RNAcentral describes it as "partial 16S ribosomal RNA". It matches the Rfam family "Bacterial small subunit ribosomal RNA", at positions 28 to 507 of the family's 1533-position model. The record is from RNAcentral.